Cucurbita moschata (crookneck pumpkin) is the source of this 267-nucleotide long non-coding RNA. RefSeq lists it as uncharacterized. NCBI's taxonomy places the organism in Eukaryota, Viridiplantae, Streptophyta, Magnoliopsida, Cucurbitales, Cucurbitaceae. The transcript has 4 exons. The record is from RefSeq and is a predicted model, not a curated record.
UGGGGAAAAGAGAAAGAAGAGGGAAAGAAGAUUAGGGUUUUGAGGAAGGGGAGGAGAUCGGAUCAGAACCGACGCCGGAGAACCGAGUCCCCAAUCUAAACCGUUGAAUAGCUCGAGGCAAGGUGCUCUCACGAAUCGCACCUUCCUAUCUCGACAAAACGUUCAAGAACUUCAGCGCUAUCUGGUUAAGUUCUGAAGUGAAGGCGGCCAAGAUCGGCGUUCAAAUCGGAGUUUAAAGAUAACGUGAUUUUCGGAAAGAGAAGGCAU